ACAGGGUGGGGCACUCCUAACAGACUGCCCAGAGAAGGAGAGGCAAGUGUGUGUCAAAUAAGGCCCUCUUCUCCACAGGACUAUUUAGCUCAUACUGCAUCCUCAUGUCUCCACCUGAGCAUUCAGACAGUUUGGAUACAGACACCAACAUACAGCCUUCAGACAGUUUGGAUAUAGACACCAGCAUACAGCCUUCAGACAGUUUGGAUAUAGACACCAGCAUUCAGCCUUCAGACAGUUUGGAUAUAGACACCAGCAUUCAGCCUUCAGACAGUUUGGAUAUAGACACCAGCAUACAGCCUUCAGACAGUUUGGAUAUAGACACCAGCAUACAGCCUUCAGACAGUUUGGAUAUAGACACCAGCAUACAGCCUUCAGACAGUUUGGAUAUAGACACCAGCAUACAGCCUUCAAACAGGUUGGAAAUAGACACCAGCAUACAGCCUUCAAACAGGUUGGAAAUAGACACCAGCUUACAUCCUUCUUCAAGACAUCUCUCUUUUUCUCAUCCUCCUGGUUUUUGACCCUUGCCUGUCCUGACCCUGUACCCACCCACCUGACCACUCUGCCUGACCCUGACUGCCGUCCUUGGCCUCUACUCUGGAUUAUCGACCCCUGCCUGACCUGACCCUGACCCUGCCUGCCGUCCUGUACCUUGGCCUCUACUCUGGAUUACCGACCUCUGCCUGACCUGACCCUGACCCUGCCUGCCGUCCUGUACCUUGGCCUCUACUCUGGAUUAUCGACCUCUGCCUGCCUUGACCUGUCGUUUGCCUGCCCCUGUUACAAUAAACAUUGUUACUUCACACAGUCUGCACUUGGGUCUUACCUUGAUUCCUGAUAUGCUCAGAUCAACUCAAGCAUUAACUGCCCAGGCCAGAUUCUUCAGUGCAUGCAGGUGAAAAACAACAAGCUGUAUCACAAAGGAAUGUUGAGGUGUGUCUCUUGCUCCUUAGCAGUCUGACCCAUGUUAAGGAGAAGACAGCCGUUACAGAAUCCCCCACCAACAACGGACCAAGCAGCGGAGGAAGGAGCAGCGCCAGGAGGAGCAAGAAUCCUGGACCAGGGAGAG
RNAcentral lists this long non-coding RNA (1072 nucleotides) under Salmo salar (Atlantic salmon). RNAcentral describes it as "lncRNA (ENSSSAG00000109401.1)". Lineage: Eukaryota; Metazoa; Chordata; Actinopteri; Salmoniformes; Salmonidae. The record is from RNAcentral.